UGCGCAGGCGGACCUAUCAGUCAGUGGUGAAAUCUCUCGGCUCAACCGGGAAACUGCCAUUGAUACUGUAGGUCUUGAGUUUGGUUGAAGUGGGCGGAAUGUAGCAUGUAGCGGUGAAAUGCAUAGAUAUGCUACAGAACACCGAUCGCGAAGGCAGCUCACUAAACCGAAACUGACGCUCAGGCACGAAAGCGUGGGUAGCGAACAGGAUUAGAUACCCUGGUAGUCC
This 229-nucleotide ribosomal RNA is filed under the name uncultured bacterium. Its description in RNAcentral is "partial 16S ribosomal RNA". It matches the Rfam family "Bacterial small subunit ribosomal RNA", at positions 568 to 796 of the family's 1533-position model. The record is from RNAcentral.